Salvelinus fontinalis (brook trout) is the source of this 3888-nucleotide long non-coding RNA. RefSeq lists it as uncharacterized. The record is from RefSeq and is a predicted model, not a curated record. The transcript has 3 exons. NCBI's taxonomy places the organism in Eukaryota, Metazoa, Chordata, Actinopteri, Salmoniformes, Salmonidae.
CAGAAACUUCUGAGACAUAGCAUUCAUGAUGAAAACUAGGAUGUUCACUGGUAAGCCAAAUUUGCCUCGGGAUCCAUCCCAGUUGGUAUUCUGUGUCCACUCGUGGUGAGCAGUCCAUCAAGUUCUGGUGUCAGAAGAGGAAGAGGAAUGUCAGGUUGAACAGACGACCUGACGAACCCGCCACGAUUGUUGCCUCUGCCUGUCGGAGGUGGAGUUCCAGAGCUCAUAGGUGUACCUGACAUGGAUUGUGACUCCAUCAUCUCGUCCCUCGCCCUCGUCAACGCGUCAUUCUCCACCUGACUCUCUGCUAAUGCCGCCUGACUCUCCGUAUCGCCCGUAGCUCUGGAAUGUGUAGCACUAUAGAAAGAAGCUGGCUUGCUGAAAACUAUGUCCAUUCCAUCUGUUCUCUUUGGUCUCAAUGGAAAAAUUUGGAGAUAAGCUGAUACUUUUUUUUAAUGGUAACUGUUAAGGGCGGAGUUAAGGGUGGGGUGAAGGAGUACUGGAAAGGUGUGACUCCAGGUUACAGUAGGCCAUAAGUAUACAGCAGACCUCCCACGUCCUCACUUUGAUUAAGCUGUAGCACAUACUGUAGCUAUGAUGAUGAGCGAUCUCUCUCAAAUGCAGACAAUGACCCAAAACCCACUGCCGCCUAGGUUUGCAUUGCAAAUGAGGGCAUAAACUGGGUCAAGACUCCAGCAGAGUAAGUAAACCUACAACAGCACAUUACUCAACACUAGUGGGACUCACCUCAGCUAGAGUACAUCUAGAAAUAUUGUUUUCAUCUUUAGAUGUAGGUCUCCUGAUUUUAAACCCGAUCAAACUUGUUUGGCAUCAACUGAAAACAUUCAUCCGUAACGCUGCCAAGCCUACAAACAAGUAUUCAAAAACAUAAAGAUGUUGAUGAACAAAUACUGUAAAUCAGUCUUUCUUUUGGAAAUAUAUAAAUCAUUACCUAUUAUAAGGUUGUUUUGAUUAUUAUUUGGAUUAUAAUAAAUUGACAUAUUUGUAAGUGGUUGAUGCAUUUUUCUUUAGGGCAAAGCAGGUCUGUGAUAUUAAUAACUUUAGUCUUGUAUCAGAUUAACUGUUGUGUCCUCACAUUUGAUGUGAUAAUUGCCCCAUAAUCUCCAAAGUGUUCUUCGAUAUAUAUCAUUCAUUCGUUCAAGCAUUUUAUUUAUAUUAAACAAACUAACAAAGGGAGCCUUGAAUAAUUAAACAAUAAAUGAACUGCAACAUGUGAGUCUCGUGUUCAUACUGUAUUUCACAUCCUCUGCGAGCGUUUGGAGUUGCCUAUAGUGUACGGGGUUUAGCAAAAUAAUAGGCUUACUCUUUAUUUAUGCUACAUUAUUCCAUAGCCUAAUUGUAGUCUAACCAAUAUCCUAACGGAGAUUCAGUGAAAAGCAAAAUCUGACAUUGACAUCAAGGGUGGAUGGCUUCUUUUGUAUUCCAAUUUAUUGUCAUGCUGCUAAACCAUUUCCACCUGGCCCACAGCGUUGUAGCGUACUUACAGUACACCACACUUUCACUCCACUCUCCACCAGCUUCUUUCUAUUGUUGUUAUCUAUUCCGGAACAUUAGUAAUGUUCACAAGUAAAUGUGAUAAAUAAAACAAAAUCAAUUAAAUAGCUCAGGUCUUGAAAAGUUGUAUUUGAUCUGUGCCUUGUAGCUGAGGCCAUAUGACUGAGCCAUCAACUUGUUUAUUUAGCACACAUCACUUGCGGCUUAUAUUCAGCCAACACACAUAUUUUAAGAAUGUCAUGGAAUAUAACUGAACAUUUUCAUUUCACAUAGAAUAAAUACCUUAGAAAUGGGGGGAAAUAGAAAUGUUUUUUUCAUCCAGUCAGAUAAACACCCCAAACAGCUUACCUUACCGCUCUGAAGCUUUCGCAAGGUCCUAAAGCACAACGUUGCCUCGUUUUGUAUUACAUUCCAAUUAUAAAACUAGGGGGGGGACAAAAAUGCAAUUACAGAAUGUAAUUGGCCCUAUGGACCUAUCUGUGGUCAAAAGUAAGCACUAUGUUCGACUUAUGUAGACACGCCCACUUGACCCAGUUCCAUUCAAGCGCUGUUUUUUUUUCUCCGUUUCACAACAUCCGUCAACGCUAGCGAAUUACAUCGAACGUGCAUCAUUAACGAAUAAACAAAAACAAAACACGGCUCACAUUUGGGAACAAACACAAACGGCUUCACCAGGAGGAGGGAAAAGGAUUGGUAUUUUUGAAGGCCGAUGUUCAGCCCAGCUAAUCAAGCAGCUCUUAUCACUCUGCUUGCGUACUUGUAUCCAACAACGGAUCCGUAGAGACGGCUGGAUGCGCUUGCAUCGCUGGACUUGGAAAGUCACGCAGCCUAAAUUUUGUGGAAGAACUGCUGUAUCAUUGUGGGGAAUCUGUCAAGUAUCCUGUCAAAUCUCACGUUGCUGAAGCUUUAUCCAGGUGAGUAGGGUAUAUAAUGUAUUUUAACAUGUCAGCAUCACAUGCAUUUCUUUGGUGUUAUUAGUGUCUUUAGUGUUAUUGUUUUUCUGGGUGAAUAAGGUUCGUAAAAUAUCCUUGUGGUUGGGGGUAACGCCUAAAGUAUGGUAAGUAUAAGUUAUCUCAUCUCAUUGGGAACAAUGGCAAGGUAAGUUUAUAAUAAAACUUGCAUGUGUUUUGGAAAGUUGAUCGCAUAGUCCUCACCUAUUCCUUAGUCACACACUUGUUAAUAAUGGGAUCUUCUCAUUUUCUCUGAAUGUCUUUUUUUGUAACAAACAUUCUAUCACAGGUGCAGAAUGCAGUGUCCAGUGGGCUAACUGGCAUAGCCUGCACAGAUGAGCAGCGACAAUGGAAUGCAGGGACUCGGAUGAACCUUGAGCCAAAGCGGUUAAACGGCAUUGACUUCACACACCAUAAGGCCAGUGACCAAUAUGCAGAAAAGCAUCCAGAAUGUCCACCCCUGGUUCCCACUCCUGCAUUCCACUCACAGGAGGAAUUGAAUAGGAGCCUGAGACACCUGAAUCUGCCUGUGGGGAGUCUGCUCUAUCAGUCUGUUAAUGCUGAACCGACAGUAAUAUCACAGCCAGUAGCAUCCCAGCCACAUGGAGAGCAUGUCAAUUACAACUGCCAGAAGUCCCUGUCCUUCUACAAUGUGAAACCUGACACAACCCAGUGAUGCUUGACACAACCCAGUCGACUGCUUUGGAACAGAUGACAAAGGAGCAGAGUGCCUCACACUUGCGACAUAACUCAAGGAAUCUUUGAGUUACUGCACGCUCAACCAAGAAGGUCCCUAUCAGGGAAUCCACCAACCCUGGUAAGUUUCUCCAGGAGCAUCUGUAUCCCAGGGCCCGAGGGAAUGCAGCCACGCACUACGGGAAAGAUAAUGAGCUGAUGGCCACCCAGUGACUGGGAGACUGUGGAUACUCUGUGGACCACAGAGGCACUGUUGUCAGUGUUGAAGAGCCAUGGCUAUCAGCAAGCCCUGACGGAGUGCUGAACUCCAAGGAGCUGUUGGAGAUCAAGUGUCCUGUCAUGGGGAAGGGCUGUGAUUCUCUGGAUGAUGUCUUCAAUGGGAAAGCCUGUGAUGUGAAGGUGGUGGAGGGCACACCCCGACUGCAACUACAUGCAGGUGCAAAUUGGUAUAUUUUACACAGGACUGAGAGAAAGUAAGGUCUGGCCUCCGUUCCUGCAAGUUGUCAUCCCUGUUCCCUAUGAUGCACAGUUCUAUGCAGAGGCUGUCCUGAGGUUGAAGGCAUUCUACUCAACACAAAUGCUGCCAUUUAUUGUUGAGGAGCAUCAGGCAGGCAGAUUGUCACUGAGUGACAAAUAUAUGCAGCUCUGUAGAUGUAUGUAGUCAGAUGUCUCUCCUGUUUGCAGUUACUAUUAACCCAUUGUUUUUCAAUUAAAGAGCCUGACCUAA